UGGGGAAUCUUGCGCAAUGGGCGAAAGCCUGACGCAGCAACGCCGCGUGAGUGAUGAAGGUCUUCGGAUCGUAAAGCUCUUUCGGCAGGGAAGAACGGCCUCGGCGUGAACAAUGCCGGAGCGUGACGGUACCUGCAGAAGAAGCACCGGCUAACUCUGUGCCAGCAGCCGCGGUAAUACAGAGGGUGCGAGCGUUGUUCGGAAUUAUUGGGCGUAAAGCGCGUGUAGGCGGGAUGGCAAGUCGGGUGUGAAAGCCCUCAGCUCAACUGAGGAAGUGCGCCCGAAACUACUGUUCUUGAGUAUCGGAGAGGGUGGCGGAAUUCCCGGUGUAGAGGUGAAAUUCGUAGAUAUCGGGAGGAACACCAGUGGCGAAGGCGGCCACCUGGCCGAAUACUGACGCUGAGACGCGAAAGCGUGGGGAGCAAACAGG
This 430-nucleotide ribosomal RNA is filed under the name uncultured bacterium. RNAcentral describes it as "bacterial SSU rRNA". It matches the Rfam family "Bacterial small subunit ribosomal RNA", at positions 355 to 776 of the family's 1533-position model. The record is from RNAcentral.